RNAcentral lists this long non-coding RNA (3555 nucleotides) under Olea europaea subsp. europaea. Lineage: Eukaryota; Viridiplantae; Streptophyta; Magnoliopsida; Lamiales; Oleaceae. The record is from RNAcentral.
GAAUUAUUACCCCAAAUUCCCAAACCAAGUCCGACAGUCCCCAAAGGAAGGAUGCCUAUUUACAAUGAAUUAUUACCCCAAAUUGCCAAAUCGAGUCCGACAGUCCCCAAAGGAUGAAUGAUCCAAUUCCAAGCAGCAAACUCCACCAAAUUGAGUAUUCGACUCUCAAUUUCUCAUUCCCAAAUCCAAAAGCUUGCAAACCUCUUUCCUCCCUUCCUAAUUACAUUCAACCGCACAGCCAACCUCAGCCAAGUCCAAAAGCUUAAAGCCAGUGGUUCUUCUUUUGUCAAGUUCAACUGCCGUUCGGGGUUAUGCGCCUGCUUCCGACUUCCUAUUUUGGUCAGCAAACAGCAGGGAAGAAAAUUUGGCUUCACAAGUUCCCCUGGUGAGUGGUUUAUGUUCUAGCUCAUUGCCGUUUUUUUAUUUUUUGGGUAUUGUUUUUGUUCUAUUUUGUUGGCUAUUUUCUAGUUGAUUUGUUGAAUAGAUAAUAAUGAAUGUUGUUAAACUUGUUAUCUCAUGUUUGUAAAUUGUGUUCAUUGUUAAUUUUUUUAUUACUUAUUAGUCUUAUAAAUAUUGAGUUAUGAUUUAUGAAUUAUGAUUUAUGUUUUGACAGUUCUGUGAUUUGUGAGUUAUUAUGGAGAAUUGUGAUUGUGAUUUAUGAUAAGUAAUUUAUGCUUUAUGAGACAUGAAUUAUGAUUAUUGAUUUGAAAAUUUAUGUUUAGGAAAUUAGGAUAAGUGAAAAAAUUUAAUUGAGAAGAUGUUGACCAGUCAAUUUAACAUAUUUUCACACACACACACACACACACACACAAUUUUGACGUUUUAGUUCAUUUACAUAUAUAGUGAAUAACUUUUAAUAAUAUUUAAUCAAAUUUUAAUAAACGAUCGGACUAUUACGACAUUAAUUGUCAAUGGUCAACGGCCAAUAGUCAACCUCCGCCCUAACUGGACUUCAAUCCUGAAUUUAUUGAAAUACAUGUCAACGUUGAUAGCCAACGGUCAACAGUCAACCUUCUGGCUAUCAUGUCUUUUAUUUAUUGAAAUACAUGUCAUUUUAAUAAACAAGACUUGCCUACAAGUAUUGCUUAAAAUACUCCAAAGUUAUGUUGGAUUUGUUGAGCUACUUUUUUGUACAAGUUAAGAUCAUUUUCAAGAGAUUAUUCAAAAAUGAGAUCAUGUUUACUUUAAGCAAUCAAACUCGCUCUUCAUUUGUAUUUUAUCAAAAUUACAUUUAAUGAAAUAACAGGUUUCAAAGUUACACUUAAGCCUUUGUUUGAUUCCUUUUUUUUUAUUUUAAAUAUAUUUCUCUCUUUAUUUCAAUCACAUAUUCUUUAAUAAAAUAAUAUUAUACGUAAAUUCAAAACCUUUUCUCAUUUUUAACGACACAUUCCCUAUCAAUUUACCAUUUCAAAAUACAUUAUAACCCAAAAAAUGGGCUCACACAUGCCCUAAAUUUAUUCAUAUUACUCGAUUUGUCUCAUAAAAAUAUACUUGUUCUCCUUUUUUUGUUUGUUCCAAAUUAUAGGUCACUUUUUUUUUUCCUUUUUUGUUUAAAUGUAAGUAUGUAUUAGGAAAUAUUAUAUUUUUAACUAUAUUAAUUACAUUUUCUUAAUCCAUGUAAAAAUGAAAACAAGCCUAUUUUUAUAAGAUCGAUGGAAUAUAAUUUUAACUAUCAAUCAAGUUAGGGUGCCAAAAAUAUUUUGACACCAUAGUUGACAUACAAUCACAAUAGGGGGGGGGGGGGUGUGAGACAUUUUUUUGUAUUUUUUAUUCAUACGAGUCCCACGCACAUGUAAGAUUAGGUCAUCCAAUGUGUCAAAAUUUUUCUAACAACUUGGCUUAAUUCUCUUAACUAUUGACAUCUAAACAUAUAUAUUAAUUAAAAAAACAAAGGAAAAACAAUACAUGAUUGUUUUGAAAAUGUAAAAUAAAGUGUGUGUCAGAGUAAAAAAAAUUUUACUCUUUAAAUUUAAAGAUAUUUUCUAUCAUGACAAAUAUAUUUCUUAAAAGUAAAGAGUCUUUUAGAGAUGUUCUAAGUCAUGUUUGUUCACCUUCUUUAGAUCGCUCUGUUUUUCUUGGAGUUGAGCUAUGGCUUUACCUCUUACGGGGUUGAGCACUUUAAUUUUACUCAAUCUCAUCUUAAGUCACCUUAUUCGCUUUCCAACAUCUUUAACUUGCCCUCUAAGUAUGGCACGACCUUGAACAUGAACUUAGGUACUAAAAACUCAGCAAUAACAUUCUUACCUAAGAUUGAUGAGUCUUUUGGCCAAACUUGAUGAUAUAUAGGAAUGCAUUCAUUCGAACACUAACAUUUGCAUGACAACGUCUACCAACUACUUAAAAUUAAAUACCAAAGGCUCAAAAUAACAAUUAACAAAAUUAAUAAAUUAGUCACAGAUAAAAAAUGAAUUUGCUGUUUUUUUUUUUUUUUCAUUUGCAAAUCGCUGAUUGUUCAUUUAUCAAGUGGCUUUUAGUUUAGAAGCGAUGAUUAGAACAGCUUUGGCCAGAAAAAGUAGGUAGCAUACAUCCAUAUUUUCUGGCGAGUCACUUUGUGUUUCGGUGUCUUUAGCUUGGCCUCUAAUUAUGACACAAGUUAAGAACUUGAGCCAUGAUAACUCGAUAACUAUUUACAAACUUUUGGUCCUGUAAACUCAGACAGUAACAUUCUUAUCCAAACUUGAGAACUCCUCUGGCCAACCUCAGGUGAUAUAAAACUAAACUCGAGAAUUUAGUGAGAUUGGUAACAUAACUGAUAAGUGUGUUUUUGCAUACUUAUUUAAUACUUAAAUAAGCUUAAAUAAUAAUUAAAUGAGAGAAUUUCUACUCACAAUUAUAUAAUUAUUCUUUUUGCAGGUAAGAAUCACCUAAGAAAAGAGAACAAGGUAAAAUGAAGUGAAAAGUGACCAAAAGUCUACAAAAUUGUGAAGUUGGAGACCAAAAUGCAUAAAUGCCAAAAGUUCAAGGACUUGGGGUUGCAAUUUUUGGAGGGCGUAAUUGAAAGAAAAGUCAAAAUCCAAAGACUAAAUUGGAUAAGACCAAAGUUGAAGGACCUGACGUGCAAUCCUUUGGGGGACCAAUUUGAAAAGAAGGAAAAAAAGGCAAGGCGCCCGCCUCGUUUUGUACUAGGCACGCCCCUUAGAUUAAAAAUCAGAACAUGUGAGCACAUUUUAAUUUUUUCAGAGGCUUUUUUUGCAAUUUGGUUGGGAAGGUUUUGGCCUUUUUAAAUACUUUUUUUCACUAUUAUUCCUCACCUUGAAGAAAACUCUAUUCUUCGUCUUCCUCUUUUCUUCUUCAUUUUUCUUUUCUUUUUUUCUUUUUCUUUCAUUUUUCUUUUGUAAUUUCUCGGUGUAUUGGGAGCAAAAUCUAGAGCACAAAGGAGAUUCAAUCAAGGAGUAGAGAAAUAGUUGGGAAAAUCAAGUUCAAGCUUUGUAAAUGGUUUCAUCUUUAAAUCUUGUAUUUUCUCGAUUAUUUUGUCAUAUUUGCAAUGUAUUGUAUGAAUAUUCUCCUUUGUUAUCAUAUAUAUAAAAUGUACUAGAUUAUCGGUGUUGAGAUUUA